GAUGAACGCUGGCGGCGUGCCUAAUACAUGCAAGUCGAGCGAAGCGGGGGCGGGUGAGUAACACGUGGAAAACAUCCUAUCAGUAUGGGUUAAAUUCGGGUAACCGGUGCUAAACCGGCUACUUAUCGAUGGCUCCGCGGUGCAUUCGCUAGUCGGUAAGUUAACGGCUCACCAAGGCAACGAUGCAUAGCCGACCAGAGAGGGUGAUCGGCCACACUAGAACUGAGACACGGUGCAGACUCCUACGGGAGGCAGCAGGAGGGAAUCGUCCGCAAUGGGCGAAAGCCUGACUGAGAAACGCCGCGUGAGUGAUGAGGGUCUUCGGAUCGUAAAACGUUGGUAGUAGGGAAGCGGUACCUAAUCAGAAAGCCACGGCUAAGUACGUGCCAGCAGCGGCGGUAAAAC
This 405-nucleotide ribosomal RNA is filed under the name uncultured bacterium. RNAcentral's name for it is "partial 16S ribosomal RNA". It matches the Rfam family "Bacterial small subunit ribosomal RNA", at positions 28 to 526 of the family's 1533-position model. The record is from RNAcentral.